This 250-nucleotide ribosomal RNA is filed under the name uncultured Atopobium sp. Its description in RNAcentral is "partial 16S ribosomal RNA". It matches the Rfam family "Bacterial small subunit ribosomal RNA", at positions 266 to 525 of the family's 1533-position model. Lineage: Bacteria; Bacillati; Actinomycetota; Coriobacteriia; Coriobacteriales; Atopobiaceae. The record is from RNAcentral.
UACCAAGGCAAUGAUGGGUAGCCGGGUUGAGAGACGACCGGCCAGAUUGGGACUGAGACAGGCCCAGACUCCUACGGGAGGCAGCAGUGGGGGAAUCUUUGCACAAUGGGCGAAAGCCUGAUGCAGCGACGCCGCGUGCGGGAUGAAGGCCUUCGGGUUGUAAACCGCUUUCAGCAGGGACGAGGCCGCAAGGUGACGGUACCUGCAGAAGAAGCCCCGGGCUAACUACGUGCCAGCAGCCGCGGUAAAU